RNAcentral lists this transfer RNA (62 nucleotides) under Chitoria chrysolora. RNAcentral's name for it is "tRNA-Cys". Lineage: Eukaryota; Metazoa; Arthropoda; Insecta; Lepidoptera; Nymphalidae. RNAcentral also lists the same sequence under 1 other name. The record is from RNAcentral.
AGUCUUAUAUUCAAUAAUGAUAUAAAAUUGCAAAUUUUAUGGUGUAUAAAUUACUAAGGCUU